RNAcentral lists this transfer RNA (95 nucleotides) under Desulfosporosinus acididurans. RNAcentral's name for it is "tRNA-Arg". Lineage: Bacteria; Bacillati; Bacillota; Clostridia; Eubacteriales; Desulfitobacteriaceae. The record is from RNAcentral.
AACUUCAAUAGGAUAUAAGUAAUCCUAUUUAUCUUUCGAUGAUGAAAGACCCCAACUUCUAUAAGUUGGGGUAGUUCUUCGUUAACUUCAGGUUG